UACGUAGGGUACAAGCGUUAAUCGGAAUUACUGGGCGUAAAGCGUGCGCAGGCGGUUUUGUAAGUCUGACGUGAAAUCCCCGGGCUUAACCUGGGAAUUGCGUUGGAGACUGCAAGGCUGGAGUCUGGCAGAGGGGGGUGGAAUUCCACGUGUAGCAGUGAAAUGCGUAGAGAUGUGGAGGAACACCGAUGGCGAAGGCAGCCCCCUGGGUCAAGACUGACGCUCAUGCACGAAAGCGUGGGGAGCAAACAGG
This 253-nucleotide ribosomal RNA is filed under the name uncultured bacterium. Its description in RNAcentral is "partial 16S ribosomal RNA". It matches the Rfam family "Bacterial small subunit ribosomal RNA", at positions 524 to 776 of the family's 1533-position model. The record is from RNAcentral.